CCUACGGGAGGCUGCAGUGGGGAAUAUUGGACAAUGGGGGGAACCCUGAUCCAGCCAUGCCGCGUGUGUGAAGAAGGCCCUCGGGUUGUAAAGCACUUUCAGUGAGGAAGAACGCCUGGUGGUUAAUACCCAUCAGGAAAGACAUCACUCACAGAAGAAGCACCGGCUAACUCCGUGCCAGCAGCCGCGGUAAUACGGAGGGUGCGAGCGUUAAUCGGAAUUACUGGGCGUAAAGCGCGCGUAGGUGGCUUGAUAAGCCGGUUGUGAAAGCCCCGGGCUCAACCUGGGAACGGCAUCCGGAACUGUCAAGCUAGAGUGCAGGAGAGGAAGGUAGAAUUCCCGGUGUAGCGGUGAAAUGCGUAGAGAUCGGGAGGAAUACCAGUGGCGAAGGCGGCCUUCUGGACUGACACUGACACUGAGGUGCGAAAGCGUGGGUAGCAAACAGGAUUAGAUACCGGGUAGUC
This 464-nucleotide ribosomal RNA is filed under the name Vreelandella stevensii. Its description in RNAcentral is "partial 16S ribosomal RNA". It matches the Rfam family "Bacterial small subunit ribosomal RNA", at positions 338 to 795 of the family's 1533-position model. The record is from RNAcentral. Lineage: Bacteria; Pseudomonadati; Pseudomonadota; Gammaproteobacteria; Oceanospirillales; Halomonadaceae.